This 234-nucleotide unclassified non-coding RNA is filed under the name plant metagenome. RNAcentral's name for it is "partial contains small subunit ribosomal RNA, internal transcribed spacer 1, and 5.8S ribosomal RNA". The record is from RNAcentral.
UUUCCGUAGGUGAACCUGCGGAAGGAUCAUUACAGUAGUCGCCCGGGUUGCCGCAAGGCCUCCCGGGUACCCUACCACCCUUUGUUUAUUACACUUUGUUGCUUUGGCAGGCCUGCCCUCGGGCUGCGGGCUCCGGCCGGCGAGCGCUUGCCAGAGGACCUAAACUCUGUUUGUCUAUACUGUCUGAGUACUAUAUAAUAGUUAAAACUCUCAACAACGGAUCUCUUGGUUCUG